Molecule: long non-coding RNA, 240 nt
Filed under: Nicotiana benthamiana
Lineage: Eukaryota; Viridiplantae; Streptophyta; Magnoliopsida; Solanales; Solanaceae
Description: long non-coding RNA (NBEN_LNC011641)
Source: RNAcentral
GGCCUUCCAGUCUUGCCUUUCAUUCAAGUCUGCCAUUAUGGAGAAUCUUCAGUGAUUUGCGUUGAUUCUGUUGAUGCAUCCGGCUGUAUAUGAUUUCCCAAAAAUCAUGGGAGAGGUCCUGAUUUGCUUAUGGGAAGUUGAUCAUUUCCUUGUGCGCCAACGACUUCCUUUAGCGAGGAUUUCCUUCCUUAUUUGAUGCUUCAAUCUCGCUUCCAUGAUUGGAUGUUGUGGAAACUUGCC